UACGAAGGGGGCUAGCGUUGCUCGGAAUCACUGGGCGUAAGGGGUGCGUAGGCGGGUCUUUAAGUCAGGGGUGAAAUCCUGGAGCUCAACUCCAGAACUGCCUUUGAUACUGAGGAUCUUGAGUUCGGGAGAGGUGAGUGGAACUGCGAGUGUAGAGGUGAAAUUCGUAGAUAUUCGCAAGAACACCAGUGGCGAAGGCGGCUCACUGGCCCGAUACUGACGCUGAGACGCGAAAGCGUGGGGAGCGAACAGG
RNAcentral lists this ribosomal RNA (253 nucleotides) under uncultured bacterium. RNAcentral describes it as "partial 16S ribosomal RNA". It matches the Rfam family "Bacterial small subunit ribosomal RNA", at positions 524 to 776 of the family's 1533-position model. The record is from RNAcentral.